This 445-nucleotide ribosomal RNA is filed under the name uncultured bacterium. RNAcentral's name for it is "partial 16S ribosomal RNA". It matches the Rfam family "Bacterial small subunit ribosomal RNA", at positions 354 to 796 of the family's 1533-position model. The record is from RNAcentral.
GUGAGGAAUAUUGCGCAAUGGAGGCAACUCUGACGCAGCCAUGCCGCGUGCAGGAAGAAGGCGCUACGCGUUGUAAACUGCUUUUAACCGGGAAGAAACCCCAGGACGUGUCCUGGGUUGACGGUACCGGAGGAAUAAGCACCGGCUAACUUCGUGCCAGCAGCCGCGGUAAUACGAAGGGUGCAAGCGUUAUCCGGAUUCAUUGGGUUUAAAGGGUGCGUAGGCGGAGCGUUAAGUCAGUGGUGAAAUCCUGCAGCUUAACUGUAGACUUGCCAUUGAUACUGGCGCUCUUGAGUGCGCUUGAAGUGGGCGGAAUGUGCCGUGUAGUGGUGAAAUGCUUAGAUAUGGCACAGAACACCAAUUGCGAAGGCAGCUCACUAAGGCGAUACUGACGCUGAGGCACGAAAGCGUGGGGAUCGAACAGGAUUAGAUACCCGGGUAGUCC